GGAAAAUGUCGCCAAAUUUACACAUUAACUUUAAAAUGGCUGACUUCCUGUUGGAUUUGGGAUAUUGCUCCAAGAGACUUUUUUGUACAUCUUGAUAUCUCCAAUAAGCUUGCCAGGUUUCAAACUCAUACAUAAAACACAGAGCAGGGGCUGUUGUUUUGAAAUUUUGUAGGGGGCGCUGUGGAGCCAUUUUGCGCUGUUCAAGGAAAAGGAACAUAUAAAAAGAAAUCCCUCAUCACAUUAGAGGUGUGCGCCAAAUUUCAAGACUUUUUAAACUUUUCAAGCCCCUCAAAAGCCACUUCAUCUUUCAUGGUGAACUGCGUUGCCACCAGGGUGCGCCGUUCAGUUUAUAGUCACAAUUUUCUCACUGAAGCAUCAAGAGGGACUGAUGGUGAUAUUCACCGCUUUUGAGGUGGCCACGAUGAACCUGUGAAAAUCAGUACAACAAAAUGAAAGACAUGAC
This is a long non-coding RNA of Oreochromis aureus, 463 nucleotides long. The record is from Ensembl. Lineage: Eukaryota; Metazoa; Chordata; Actinopteri; Cichliformes; Cichlidae.